GAUGAACGCUGGCGGCGUGCUUAACACAUGCAAGUCGAACGGAAAGGCCCAAGCUUGCUUGGGUACUCGAGUGGCGAACGGGUGAGUAACACGUGGGUGAUCUGCCCUGCACUUCGGGAUAAGCCUGGGAAACUGGGUCUAAUACCGGAUAGGACCACAUUUUGGAUGGUGUGGUGGGAAGUUUUUCGGUGUGGGAUGAGCUCGCGGCCUAUCAGCUUGUUGGUGGGGUAAUGGCCUACCAAGGCGUCGACGGGUAGCCGGCCUGAGAGGGUGUACGGCCACAUUGGGACUGAGAUACGGCCCAGACUCCUACGGGAGGCAGCAGUGGGGAAUAUUGCACAAUGGGCGCAAGCCUGAUGCAGCGACGCCGCGUGGGGGAUGACGGCCUUCGGGUUGUAAACUCCUUUCGCUAGGGACGAAGCGUUUUUGUGACGGUACCUGGAGAAGAAGCACCGGCUAACUACGUG
RNAcentral lists this ribosomal RNA (467 nucleotides) under uncultured bacterium. RNAcentral describes it as "partial 16S ribosomal RNA". It matches the Rfam family "Bacterial small subunit ribosomal RNA", at positions 28 to 507 of the family's 1533-position model. The record is from RNAcentral.